RNAcentral lists this ribosomal RNA (420 nucleotides) under uncultured bacterium. RNAcentral describes it as "bacterial SSU rRNA". It matches the Rfam family "Bacterial small subunit ribosomal RNA", at positions 102 to 518 of the family's 1533-position model. The record is from RNAcentral.
ACGGGUGCGUAACGCGUAUGCAACCUGCCCCCAUCAGGGGAAUAGCCCGCCGAAAGGCGGAUUAAUGCCCCAUAGGCCCAGGGCGCCGCAUGGCGCUAUGGGUAAAGCUCCGGCGGAUGGGGAUGGGCAUGCGUGCCAUUAGCUAGUUGGGGCGGUAACGGCGCACCAAGGCGACGAUGGCUAGGGGGUCUGAGAGGAUGGUCCCCCACACUGGUACUGAGACACGGACCAGACUCCUACGGGAGGCAGCAGUGAGGAAUAUUGGUCAAUGGGCGGAAGCCUGAACCAGCCAUGGCCCGCGUGCAGGAUGACGGCCCUACGGGUUGUAAACUGCUUUUCCCCGGGAAGAAUAAGCCCCUCGUGAGGGGUGAUGCCGGUACCGGGGGAAUAAGGAUCGGCUAACUCCGUGCCAGCAGCAGC